This is a microRNA precursor of Equus asinus (donkey), 107 nucleotides long. NCBI's taxonomy places the organism in Eukaryota, Metazoa, Chordata, Mammalia, Perissodactyla, Equidae. The record is from Ensembl.
CCAGGGAGAGGUCAGCAGAGGACCCAGCCAGUGAGCUUGCCCUCUGGUGGCCCACAGCAGAGGGCAGGCUUCUCAGGCAUUCAGGACAUUUGCACAGCUUUGAAGGU